AUUCCAGCUCCAAUAGCGUAUAUUAAAGUUGUUGCAGUUAAAAAGCUCGUAGUUGGAUUUCUGGCGUGAGGUGCUUGACCCGCCGCGGUUACGCGUGUGAGUGUCGGUGUGCCUCGGCCAUCCUUCUAGAAAUUGGCUCUGCCCUUCAUUGGGUUGGGGUCAGGAUCUAGAUCUUUUACUUUGAAAAAAUUAGAGUGUUUAAAGCAAGCGUUGCGUGAAUACAUUAGCAUGGAAUAAUAACUUAGGACUUCGGUUCUAUUUUGUUGGUUUCUAGGACUGAAGUAAUGAUUGAUAGGGAUAGUUGGGGGUGCUAGUAUUCAGCGGCCAGAGGUGAAAUUCUUGGAUUCGCUGAAGACUAACUUAUGCGAAAGCAUUCACCAAGGAUGUCUUCAUCA
RNAcentral lists this ribosomal RNA (395 nucleotides) under Thecofilosea sp. Its description in RNAcentral is "partial small subunit ribosomal RNA". It matches the Rfam family "Eukaryotic small subunit ribosomal RNA", at positions 582 to 975 of the family's 1831-position model. The record is from RNAcentral. Lineage: Eukaryota; Cercozoa; Thecofilosea.